UGGUUUCCCUAGGUGUCUGAGUCGCUGCUCCCCACAGCCCUCUGUAGCCCCAUUGGCAGAUGGGCGAGCCCCUCCCCUGUUCUCUCCCCUGUUUAUAAACUGUUGCACAGCCCCCUCCUCCGUUUUCUGUCGACUGGAAUGUCUUGUUUUUUGGUCUGUCUGCUGCUCUGCCUAAAUAAACAUGGAUUGAACCUGAGGAGGUCUCCUUCUUUCUUCUGCCUUCCAUCACAUUGUCUCGCCUGUGCAAGGCAAAAGCCUUCGCUGCCCUCCCAGCCUCCAGAGGAACAGGAGAGUGUCCCCCACCAUCGGCUGUGCCAGAGUGAGCCGGGACAGUCCAAGUGGAUUCUUGGAGGGGCACAGCAACAGUUGCUAAAGUAUGUAAGCUGUUAUUUUGAGUAGGACUAUUGUCUGUGAGUUGUCAAAAAUUCAAGGAUCUUGGGAAUAUCCUCUCUACAGGGAAUAACGGUAUGGAUUUCAGUUGGAUGAAGGCAAGGUCUGGUUCUCUGUUGCAGGAGCUCCUAUGAAAUGAGCUGGAAGCCUGGGCCAACUUUUCCUUUUCUUGAAAGCUGCAUUUAUGCUGGGAUAGUACUCCUGGUCCCCGUCUGUGCUACAGUGGAACUGCAACUGCUACUGGUUUGCCUCCCUGACCAUGACUGUGACUCUGUGGUUUAACUUCCUGGCUUUCCUUCAGAUUUGCCUCUUCACUGCAGUCUUACUGGAUGAACACUGGAGUUUCUCUGAUCUGAUCCCUGUUCCUGAACCUGGUCCCAGCACAGACCUUCAGCUCAGCGUCCCUGCUUCUUGUAGGUGCAGCCAUUGCUCCUUUCUACUUUGCUACCAUGCUGAGCUCUCAGUUUACGUUGUCUUAACAGACAAUCCUCACUUCUCUUGGCCGUUUUGUACUUUGCUCUCAAUCAUGCAUCAAUUUGUCAAACAGCUUUACAUCAUGAAAGUCACCUGAGAAAACAGGUGAUUUGCACGUAUCUGGGGGAGGUUCAUAAUGCAGGGGAGUAAUUUUUAUUUCUCACCGGGCAAUAGGAGCCUUCUGUGAUGUAACUAGUGAAUAUCCAGUUUUACCAGUCAUAUCUGGAAGAAGAGAACGUUUGUCCUCAGAUCACAGAAUUUGUUCAUAUAAAGGAACAAAGAAAAAGACCAAGUGCCAGCAAUACAGCAAACUCAAGAAUAUCUGUGUUUCCCAGAUCCUUUGAGUACUGUGGUUCUUUCAUUCACUCAAGGACAGUAAAGCUUAUUAUUGUUCUCUUAGGUUCAAUCAAAAUAUUUCAAAGAUGAUAAUUCAGUGGGAGUGAAGCAAAAGGACCUGUCUGAAUAGCUACUUAUUAUGCAGAGCUGUGGUGUCAUGACUGCUUUAUUUGAUCUGCUGUAUCUUCCAGUGAAAACUUGAAGAUAAAUCCCAAAAAAUGGCCUAGGAUAGGGGCACUGAGAAUCUUCGUUUUUACAUCUAGUUCUUAAAGAAUUGUGGUAGGUUUCCACACCCACUUGAUGAAGAGAUGUAAGUGCUUCAGAAUUAGGUUCAAAAGAGCCAACAUCUGACCCAACUUCAAACUGCAAGGCUGUAAAAUUGCCCAAUGGUACCCAACAGCAACAAGAAAAUGAAUCAAAAUUAAUUGAACUGUAAAACUUUAAUCACCUCACAAACUCUUUUGCUGAAGAUUUUUUGUUGGUUUUUGGGGUUUUUUUGGUUUUUCAUGAGCUAGAACAGAUUCUGAAACUCAAGUCCCUGAGCAGCCUUAGAUAGAAUUGAACCAAAUAUAUAUUUUCAGCUAUCACUUCAGAAGGGAAAUACAGCUCAAAGUUUGUAAACUUGUAUGUUUAAUAAUGUUAGCCCUAAAAACUUUCUCUGACAAUUAAUGAACAUUUUAGGAUUCGUCUUGUCUUUCCUGAUAGAUUAGUUUUCCAUCCCCCAUAAGAGGAGUAAUUAUUCUCUACUUUCUUGCCUUUCCUUCCUUACUGAGUGUGUUAAGAAGGCAAGAAAUUUAGGAAACAAUGAAGGAUCCAUGUCAAAAUGCAAGAAGUCAUGUGAUGAUGCAUAAAGAAAGUUCAUACUGGGACCAGAGUUGUGUUUUUUCUUCAAGUUUUUAAAAGUUCUGUUUUAUUAAUUGUAAUGGGAGGGCUCAAUUUCUCUUCUGUCCUGUCAGAUUUCUAAUCCACUUAAAAACUCUUAAUUCUUUAAAGUUAUAUUAAUCAAUUGCUUAUUUAGAAUUUAAAUUUACACCAUUAUUUCUACUUUAUUUUUUUGAAAUUUGAAGAGAAAUCUGUAGUUUGCAUAUAAAAUUAAUUGAAAACACACUAUCUAUGCUAUGGCAGCUAUAUAAAAAUUUCUGUAGUUUUCAUCAUGUAAUAUUUAAGAUUCACUUUUUUGUGUCAGAAGACUAAUUUACAAAAAUUAUCAGGGGUAAAAAUAAGAGAAUAUUAUAUAUUACUGGAAGUCUCUGGAGAAAGAAAUAAAAUCUUCAUAAAAAUAUCUGAAUUUUUCUUUAGUACUUUAUAUGGUUCAGUUGAUCUUCUAAUUCUCAUAAUUAAGAUUAAAAUUAUGCUAAAUAAGAAGCAUGUAAGUCUCUCCCAGCUCAGGAUAUUCUAUGAUGCUAUGAGGCUGAUCUGUUUAGUUUGAAGAUUGGAAGCUGCUUUUCUGGGUUUAUAUUAUUUACAGAGUUUAUUUUGUCCACUUGUUAAAAAUAAGUGUUUCUGAGAAUCAUUUCUGUCUCAGUUAAAAGGAAGCCAAUCUUCUUUAUCUAAUCAUUAAUGUUAAUUGUGCCUUUAGUUAAAAUAUAUUUUAGUUCUUUCACUUUUCCCUUUUGUUCCUCUAAAUAAUUUAACAGAAGUGUGAAAGAUUAAUAUUUCCAUAUAAUUCAGCAUCCACGUCUGUACCUAUUGCUACAUAACUAUUCUGUAUUCAAAGUUUUUUGAGAAUGUUGUCCCUAGUUAGAACAAUGAUGAAUUUUUAAAAUGAUAAUGUAAUAUGAACUGACUCCCAUGUAUUAUACAACAAUAAAACUAUGAUGAAAAAUAAAAAGAAUAUGAUUUUUAAGCUUGUAGAAUCAUAACUAAAGAAACUGAUUAAACUGCCAUGCAGGUUGACUAAAAACAGUGUGUUUAAAGUGAAUACCUAAGAAUGUAAAAUAAAAUGUUUUAUUAGUA
Passer domesticus (house sparrow) is the source of this 3156-nucleotide long non-coding RNA. RefSeq lists it as uncharacterized. NCBI's taxonomy places the organism in Eukaryota, Metazoa, Chordata, Aves, Passeriformes, Passeridae. The transcript has 2 exons. The record is from RefSeq and is a predicted model, not a curated record.